AGUCGAACGUGAAAGCACUUCGGUGUGAGUAGAGUGGCGGACGGGUGAGUAACGCGUGGGAAUCUACCCAGUAGUGGGGGACAACUACCGGAAACGGUAGCUAAUACCGCAUACGCCCUAUGGGGGAAAGGCUUCGGCCGCUAUUGGAUGAGCCCGCGUCAGAUUAGCUAGUUGGUAGGGUAAAGGCCUACCAAGGCAACGAUCUGUAGCUGGUCUGAGAGGACGAACAGCCACACUGGGACUGAGACACGGCCCAGACUCCUACGGGAGGCAGCAGUGGGGAAUAUUGGACAAUGGGCGAAAGCCUGAUCCAGCAAUGCCGCGUGUGUGAAGAAGGCCUGCGGGUUGUAAAGCGCUUUCAGUUGGGAAGAUGAUGACGUUACCAACAGAAGAAGCACCGGCUAAAUCCGUGCCAGCAGCCGCGGUAAUACGGAUGGUGCGAGCGUUAAUCGGAAUUACUGGGCGUAAAGCGCGCGUAGGCGGCUAAGUCAGUCAGAAGUGAAAGCCCCGGGCUCAACCUGGGAAUUGCUUUUGAUACUGCUUAGCUAGAGUUUGGUAGAGGAUAGUGGAAUUUCAGGUGUAGCGGUGAAAUGCGUAGAUAUCUGAAGGAACAUCAGUGGCGAAGGCGACUGUCUGGACCAAAACUGACGCUGAGGUGCGAAAGCGUGGGUAGCAAACAGGAUUAGAUACCCUGGUAGUCCACGCCGUAAACGAUGUCAACUAGCCGUCGGGUCUAUUUACAGACUUGGUGGCGCAGCUAACGCGAUAAGUUGACCGCCUGGGGAGUACGGCCGCAAGGUUAAAACUCAAAGGAA
Molecule: ribosomal RNA, 815 nt
Filed under: uncultured Gammaproteobacteria bacterium
Lineage: Bacteria; Pseudomonadati; Pseudomonadota; Gammaproteobacteria
Description: bacterial SSU rRNA
Rfam family: Bacterial small subunit ribosomal RNA
Source: RNAcentral